GGUUAAGCGACUAAGCGUACACGGUGGAUGCCCUGGCAGUCAGAGGCGAUGAAGGACGUGCUAAUCUGCGAUAAGCGUCGGUGAGGUGAUAUGAACCGUUAUAACCGGCGAUUUCCGAAUGGGGAAACCCAGUGUGUUUCGACACACUAUCAUUAACUGAAUCCAUAGGUUAAUGAGGCGAACCGGGGGAACUGAAACAUCUAAGUACCCCGAGGAAAAGAAAUCAACCGAGAUUCCCCCAGUAGCGGCGAGCGAACGGGGAGGAGCCCAGAGCCUGAAUCAGUGUGUGUGUUAGUGGAAGCGUCUGGAAAGGCGUGCGAUACAGGGUGACAGCCCCGUACACAAAAAUGCACAUAUUGUGAGCUCGAUGAGUAGGGCGGGACACGUGGUAUCCUGUCUGAAUAUGGGGGGACC
Molecule: ribosomal RNA, 414 nt
Filed under: Escherichia coli
Lineage: Bacteria; Pseudomonadati; Pseudomonadota; Gammaproteobacteria; Enterobacterales; Enterobacteriaceae
Description: partial 23S ribosomal RNA
Rfam family: Bacterial large subunit ribosomal RNA
Source: RNAcentral